Rattus norvegicus (Norway rat) is the source of this 69-nucleotide non-coding RNA. The record is from Rfam. NCBI's taxonomy places the organism in Eukaryota, Metazoa, Chordata, Mammalia, Rodentia, Muridae.
GGGGAUUUAGCUCAGUGGUAGAGCGCUUGCCUAGGAAGCGCAAGGCCCUGGGUUCGGUUCCCAGCUCCG